This 22-nucleotide microRNA is filed under the name Equus caballus (horse). RNAcentral's name for it is "eca-miR-9048". The record is from miRBase by way of RNAcentral. Lineage: Eukaryota; Metazoa; Chordata; Mammalia; Perissodactyla; Equidae.
CCAUCUGCAGUUGGCUGAGCCC